This 2167-nucleotide ribosomal RNA is filed under the name Eugerdella sp. RNAcentral describes it as "SSU rRNA". The record is from RNAcentral. Lineage: Eukaryota; Metazoa; Arthropoda; Malacostraca; Isopoda; Desmosomatidae.
CAUAUGCUUGUCUCAAAGAUUAAGCCAUGCAUGUCUGAGUACAGACCGAUCUAAGGUGAAACCGCGAAUGGCUCAUUAAAUCAGUCAUAAUUCCUUGGAUAGUGAAAAACUUUCCUCGGAUAACUGUGGAAAAUCCAGAGCUAAUACGUGCAACUGAGCUCCGACCUAGGCGUGAGCCGUGGGAAGAGCGCAUUUGUUAGAUUCAAAACUGACCGGUGUACUCCUUCGGGAUAUGCCGUUUGUUAAAAUUUGAUGACUCAGGACAACUAAGUCGAGCGCUCCGGUCUUUAGUACCGGCGCCGUAUCUUUCAAGUGUCUGCCUUAUCAGCUUUCGAUUGUAGGUUAAACGCCUACAAUGGCUGUAACGGGUAACGGGGAAUCAGGGUUCGAUUCCGGAGAGGGAGCCUGAGAAACGGCUACCACAUCUAAGGAAGGCAGCAGGCACGCAAAUUACCCACUCCCAGCCCGGGGAGGUAGUGACGAAAAAUAACGAUGCGAGACUCUUCCGAGGCCUCGCAAUCGGAAUGAGUCCAUUUUAAAUCCUUGGACGAGGAUCCAUUGGAGGGCAAGUCUGGUGCCAGCAGCCGCGGUAAUUCCAGCUCCAAUAGCGUAUAUUAAAGUUGCUGCGGUUAAAAAGCUCGUAGUUGGACUUUCUAGAUCCAUUUCGUGGGUGAGUCGCUCUUUGUACUAGCGCCUCGUGCAGUUGCUUGACGAAGUCGUCUCGCGUGCGUGCGCGCGCGCUCGGCCGCGUACUUYUUUUUCGGCGCGAGUCGUUCUAGAGGUUGCGCGUAGCCGUGUGUCGCCGCCGUUCGCGUUGGCGUUCCAGAGUCAAGUGGGCGGCGAGGCGUUGUCUUGGGGUAUAGCUCGUCCGCGUUUGGUACAAUUAAAAUUUUGUCGGCUCGCUCGGAGUGCUCUUUACCGAGUGUUCCAGGGUGGCUGACACGUUCACUUUGAAAAAAUUAGAGUGCUUAAAGCGGGCUUAUUUACGGCCUGAAUGUCUGUGCAUGGAAUGAAGUAACAGGACCUCGAUUCUGUUGUUUUUGUCGGUUUUAUUGAACCGAGGUAAUGAUUAAAAGGGACAGACGGUGGCAUUAGUAUUGCGGCGCUAGAGGUGAAAUUCUUGGACCGUCGCAAGACUAACUACUGCGAAAGCAUUUGCCGAGAAUGUUUUCAUUAAUCAAGAACGAAAGUUAGAGGAUCGAAGGCGAUCAGAUACCGCCCUAGUUCUAACCCUAAACUAUGCUAACUAGCGAUCCGCCGGAGUCAUUCCCACGACCCGGCGGGAAGCCCCAGGGAAACCAAAGUCUUUGAGUUCCGGGGGAAGUAUGGUUGCAAAGCUGAAACUUAAAGGAAUUGACGGAAGGGCACCACCAGGAGUGGAGCCUGCGGCUUAAUUUGACUCAACACGGGAAACCUCACCAGGCCCGGACAUCAUAAGGAUUGACAGGUUGAGAGCUCUUUCUCGAUUUGAUGGGUGGUGGUGCAUGGCCGUUCUUAGUUGGUGGAGUGAUCUGUCUGGUUGAUUCCGAUAACGAACGAGACUCUACCCUACUAACUAGUCGGCGGAUCGUAACCCUGAGAUGGUUAGUUUGUAUAGGAGAGUUUUGCCCAGGCAUAGUCGUUUGAUUGAUAGUGUUACGCUCUCGUAUUAUCCACUAGCUAUAUUGUUUAGCGAAGGUAUAUUUACGCGUCGAUAGCUCUAAAGGUCUGCGGCCGUGUCGAAGCUGCWUUCUGAUUGCUGCUACUGCUGGGGGCGUCCGUCGCAAUGUAUCUUCUUAGAGGGAUCAGCGGCGUAUAGCCGCACGAGAAAGAGCAAUAACAGGUCUGUGAUGCCCUUAGAUGUUCUGGGCCGCACGCGCGCUACAAUGUAGGGCUCAGCGUGCUUUCCCUCUCCGAAAGGAGCGGGUAACCCGUUGAAACCCCUACCCGAUUGGGAUUGGGGAUUGCAAUUAUUUCCCAUAAACGAGGAAUUCCCAGUAAGCGCGAAUCAUUAAUUCGCGCUGAUUACGUCCCUGCCCUUUGUACACACCGCCCGUCGCUACUACCGAUUGAAUGAUUCAGUGAGGGCAUCGGACUGGCCCUUCGGUUUAGUAACCUAGACCUUAGGCUGACGGAAAGAUGUCCGAACUUGAUCAUUUAGAGGAAGUAAAAGUCGUAACAAGGUUUC